Molecule: ribosomal RNA, 112 nt
Filed under: Erinaceus europaeus (western European hedgehog)
Lineage: Eukaryota; Metazoa; Chordata; Mammalia; Eulipotyphla; Erinaceidae
Source: RNAcentral
GUCUGCAGUCAUACCACCCUGAACAUGUUCAAUCUCAUCAUAUUUCAGAAGCCAAGCAGGGUGUGGUUAGAACUUGGAUGGGAGACAUCCUGAGUGUUGUAUGCUUGGGACC